AAAGGAAUAGACGGGGGCCCGCACAAGCGGUGGAGCAUGUGGUUUAAUUCGAUGCAACGCGAAGAACCUUACCUGGGCUUGACAUGGGAAUGACCGCUCGAGAGAUCGAGUUUUCUCUUCGGAGACAUUCCGCACAGGUGCUGCAUGGCUGUCGUCAGCUCGUGUUGUGAGAUGUUCGGUUAAGUCCGGCAACGAGCGCAACCCUCGUCCUUAGUUGUCAUCAGGUAAAGCUGGACCCUCUAGGGAGACUGCCGCGGAAAACGCGGAGGAAGGUGGGGACGACGUCAAGUCCUCAUGGCCCUUACGCCCAGGGCUACACACGUGCUACAAUGGUCGGUACAAUGGGAUGCAAAGUCGCGAGACGGAGCAAAUCCUCAAAGCCGUCCUCAGUUCGGAUUGGAGGCUGCAACUCGCCUCCAUGAAGCUGGAAUCGCUAGUAAUCGUGGAUCAGCAUGCCACGGUGAAUACGUUCCCGGGCCUUGUACACACCGCCCGU
Molecule: ribosomal RNA, 496 nt
Filed under: uncultured bacterium
Lineage: Bacteria
Description: bacterial SSU rRNA
Rfam family: Bacterial small subunit ribosomal RNA
Source: RNAcentral